AUUGAACGCUGGCGGAAUGCUUUACACAUGCAAGUCGAACGGCAGCAUAGGUGCUUGCACCUGAUGGCGAGUGGCGAACGGGUGAGUAAUACAUCGGAACGGGCCCAGUCGUGGGGGAUAACGUAGCGAAAGUUACGCUAAUACCGCAUACGCUCUAAGGAAGAAAGCGGGGGACCGUAAGGCCCCGCGCGAUUGGAGCGGCCGAGGUCAGAUUAGGUAGUUGGUGAGGUAAAGGCUCACCAAGCCGACGAUCUGUAGCUGGUCUGAGAGGACGACCAGCCACACUGGGACUGAGACACGGCCCAGACUCCUACGGGAGGCAGCAGUGGGGAAUUUUGGACAAUGGACGCAAGUCUGAUCCAGCCAUUCCGCGUGCAGGACGAAGGCCUUCGGGUUGUAAACUGCUUUUGUACGGAACGAAAAAGCUCUUACUAAUACUAGGAGUCCAUGACGGUACCGUAAGUAUAAGCACCGGCUAACUACGUGCCAGCAGCCGCGGUAA
Molecule: ribosomal RNA, 502 nt
Filed under: uncultured bacterium
Lineage: Bacteria
Description: partial 16S ribosomal RNA
Rfam family: Bacterial small subunit ribosomal RNA
Source: RNAcentral